CCUACGGGCGGCUGCAGUGGGGAAUAUUGCACAAUGGGCGCAAGCCUGAUGCAGCCAUGCCGCGUGUGUGAAGAAGGCCUUCGGGUUGUAAAGCACUUUCAGCGGGGAGGAAGGCGUUAAGGUUAAUAACCUUGGCGAUUGACGUUACCCGCAGAAGAAGCACCGGCUAACUCCGUGCCAGCAGCCGCGGUAAUACGGAGGGUGCAAGCGUUAAUCGGAAUUACUGGGCGUAAAGCGCACGCAGGCGGUCUGUCAAGUCGGAUGUGAAAUCCCCGGGCUCAACCUGGGAACUGCAUUCGAAACUGGCAGGCUAGAGGCCUGUAGAGGGGGGUAGAAUUCCAGGUGGAGCGGUGAAAUGCGUAGAGAUCUGGAGGAAUACCGGUGGCGAAGGCGGCCCCCUGGACAAAGACUGACGCUCAGGUGCGAAAGCGUGGGGAGCAAACAGGAUUAGAUACCCUAGUAGUC
RNAcentral lists this ribosomal RNA (465 nucleotides) under uncultured Klebsiella sp. Its description in RNAcentral is "bacterial SSU rRNA". It matches the Rfam family "Bacterial small subunit ribosomal RNA", at positions 338 to 795 of the family's 1533-position model. Lineage: Bacteria; Pseudomonadati; Pseudomonadota; Gammaproteobacteria; Enterobacterales; Enterobacteriaceae. The record is from RNAcentral.